AUUGAACGCUGGCGGCAUGCCUUACACAUGCAAGUCGAACGGCAGCACGGGUGCUUGCACCUGGUGGCGAGUGGCGAACGGGUGAGUAAUACAUCGGAACAUGUCCUGUAGUGGGGGAUAGCCCGGCGAAAGCCGGAUUAAUACCGCAUACGAUCUACGGACGAAAGCGGGGGACCUUCGGGCCUCGCGCUAUAGGGUUGGCCGAUGGCUGAUUAGCUAGUUGGUGGGGUAAAGGCCUACCAAGGCGACGAUCAGUAGCUGGUCUGAGAGGACGACCAGCCGCACGAGAGCUGGAACGCGGACCAGACGACUACGAGAGGGAGCAGUGGGGAAUGUUGGACAGUAGGCGAAAGCAUGAUGCAGCGAUGCCGCGUGUGUGAAAGAGGCCUUCGGGUUGUAAAGCACUUUUGUGCGGAAAGAAAUCCUUGGCCCUAAUACGGUCGGGGGAUGACGGUACCGGAAGAAUAAGCACCGGCUAACUACGUG
RNAcentral lists this ribosomal RNA (486 nucleotides) under uncultured bacterium. RNAcentral describes it as "partial 16S ribosomal RNA". It matches the Rfam family "Bacterial small subunit ribosomal RNA", at positions 29 to 507 of the family's 1533-position model. The record is from RNAcentral.